This 253-nucleotide ribosomal RNA is filed under the name uncultured bacterium. Its description in RNAcentral is "partial 16S ribosomal RNA". It matches the Rfam family "Bacterial small subunit ribosomal RNA", at positions 524 to 776 of the family's 1533-position model. The record is from RNAcentral.
UACGUAGGUGACAAGCGUUGUCCGGAUUUACUGGGCGUAAAGAGCGCGCAGGCGGUCGAUCAAGUCGAGUGUGAAAGCCCCCGGCUCAACUGGGGAGGGUCAUUCGAUACUGAUCGACUCGAAGGCAGGAGAGGGUAGUGGAAUUCCCGGUGUAGUGGUGAAAUGCGUAGAUAUCGGGAGGAACACCAGUGGCGAAGGCGACUACCUGGCCUGUUCUUGACGCUGAGGCGCGAAAGCUAGGGAAGCAAACGGG